This 250-nucleotide ribosomal RNA is filed under the name uncultured prokaryote. Its description in RNAcentral is "partial 16S ribosomal RNA". It matches the Rfam family "Bacterial small subunit ribosomal RNA", at positions 524 to 775 of the family's 1533-position model. The record is from RNAcentral.
UACAGAGGUGGCGAGCGUUGUUCGGAUUUACUGGGCGUAAAGGGCGCGUAGGGGGCCAUGUGUGUCGACCGUGAAAUCUCCGGGCUCAACCCGGAAAGUGCGGUCGAAACUGCGUGGCUCGAGCAGAGGAUGGGAAAGCGGAACUCAGGGUGUAGCGGUGAAAUGCGUUGAUAUCCUGAAGAACACCGGGCGAAGGCGGCUUUCUGGAAUCUUGCUGACUCUGAGGCGCGAAAGUAGGGGGAGCAAACAG